UACGUAGGGGGCUAGCGUUGUCCGGAUUUAUUGGGCGUAAAGAGCGUGUAGGCGGCCACGCAGGUCCGUUGUGAAAACUGGAGGCUCAACCUCCAGACGUCGACGGAAACCGUAUGGCUAGAGUCCGGAAGAGGAGAGUGGAAUUCCUGGUGUAGCGGUGAAAUGCGCAGAUAUCAGGAAGAACACCCGUGGCGAAGGCGGCUCUCUGGGACGGUACUGACGCUGAGACGCGAAAGCGUGGGGAGCGAACAGG
This 253-nucleotide ribosomal RNA is filed under the name uncultured bacterium. RNAcentral's name for it is "partial 16S ribosomal RNA". It matches the Rfam family "Bacterial small subunit ribosomal RNA", at positions 524 to 776 of the family's 1533-position model. The record is from RNAcentral.